CUAGAAUUGUAGGGGGACCGGUGUUGCCGGUUGAGAUAGCAUCCUUAAGAUGUUGACUCUUAGAACCUGAUCUGGUUGAGACCAGCGGAGGGAACAUAUUCUUAAACAAA
Molecule: non-coding RNA, 110 nt
Filed under: Neobacillus vireti
Lineage: Bacteria; Bacillati; Bacillota; Bacilli; Caryophanales; Bacillaceae
Also listed under: 1 other name
Description: Bacillus vireti TPP sequence
Rfam family: TPP riboswitch aptamer (THI element)
About the family: Vitamin B(1) in its active form thiamin pyrophosphate (TPP) is an essential coenzyme that is synthesised by coupling of pyrimidine and thiazole moieties in bacteria. The previously detected thiamin-regulatory element, thi box was extended, resulting in a new, highly conserved RNA secondary structure, the THI element, which is widely distributed in eubacteria and also occurs in some archaea.
Source: RNAcentral